AUUGAACGCUGGCGGCAUGCCUUACACAUGCAAGUCGAACGGUAACAGGUCUUCGGAUGCUGACGAGUGGCGAACGGGUGAGUAAUAUAUCGGAACGUGCCCAGUUGUGGGGGAUAACUACUCGAAAGAGUGGCUAAUACCGCAUACGACCUGAGGGUGAAAGCGGGGGAUCGCAAGACCUCGCGCAAUUGGAGCGGCCGAUAUCAGAUUAGGUAGUUGGUGGGGUAAAGGCUCACCAAGCCAACGAUCUGAAGCUGGUCUGAGAGGACGACCAGCCACACUGGGACUGAGACACGGCCCAGACUCCUACGGGAGGCAGCAGUGGGGAAUUUUGGACAAUGGACGCAAGUCUGAUCCAGCCAUGCCGCGUGCGGGAAGAAGGCCUUCGGGUUGUAAACCGCUUUUGUCAGGGAAGAAAAGGGCGACUCUAAUACAGUUGCCUCAUGACGGUACCUGAAGAAUAAGCACCGGCUAACUACGUGCCAGCAGCCGCCGUAA
Molecule: ribosomal RNA, 498 nt
Filed under: uncultured bacterium
Lineage: Bacteria
Description: partial 16S ribosomal RNA
Rfam family: Bacterial small subunit ribosomal RNA
Source: RNAcentral